RNAcentral lists this ribosomal RNA (598 nucleotides) under uncultured Clostridium sp. RNAcentral describes it as "bacterial SSU rRNA". It matches the Rfam family "Bacterial small subunit ribosomal RNA", at positions 121 to 738 of the family's 1533-position model. The record is from RNAcentral. Lineage: Bacteria; Bacillati; Bacillota; Clostridia; Eubacteriales; Clostridiaceae.
GUAACCUGCCCUGUACACACGGAUAACAUACCGAAAGGUAUGCUAAUACGAGAUAAUAUGCUUUUAUCGCAUGGUAGAAGUAUCAAAGCUCCGGCGGUACAGGAUGGACCCGCGUCUGAUUAGCUAGUUGGUAAGGCAACGGCUUACCAAGGCGACGAUCAGUAGCCGACCUGAGAGGGUGAUCGGCCACAUUGGAACUGAGACACGGUCCAAACUCCUACGGGAGGCAGCAGUGGGGAAUAUUGCACAAUGGGCGAAAGCCUGAUGCAGCAACGCCGCGUGAGCGAUGAAGGCCUUCGGGUCGUAAAGCUCUGUCCUCAAGGAAGAUAAUGACGGUACUUGAGGAGGAAGCCCCGGCUAACUACGUGCCAGCAGCCGCGGUAAUACGUAGGGGGCUAGCGUUAUCCGGAAUUACUGGGCGUAAAGGGUGCGUAGGUGGUUUCUUAAGUCAGAGGUGAAAGGCUACGGCUCAACCGUAGUAAGCCUUUGAAACUGGGAAACUUGAGUGCAGGAGAGGAGAGUGGAAUUCCUAGUGUAGCGGUGAAAUGCGUAGAUAUUAGGAGGAACACCAGUUGCGAAGGCGGCUCUCUGGACUGUA